AGGAUUAGAUACCCUAUUAUUUUUAUAGGGAUUGGAAUUAGUAUGAAGUUGAAAAUUAAUGGUUUUGGCGGCUGAUUAAUAUGUUAGGGGAGCUUGUUUUGGUAAAGUAAUUACUCUUUGUAUUUAUAAUAUUAUUGUUUAUUCAUCUCCGUUAAUAGAUAUUAUUAUAUUAUAAAAACAGUGCUUUUUAUUUCAGGUCAAGAUGUAGCUUUGAUUUUUAAUAAAAAUUAGCUAUGGUGAAUUAUGUGGAUUGAGAAAGAUGGCUCUUAAAAAGUAGUGUUUAAGAGAAUUAAAUUUAAUUGUAAUAGUAUCUAGAAAGAUAUUAUGAAUUAUGAUAAUUAGUGUACAGAUUGCCCGUCACUUCUGCUUACAGGCAGAAUAAGUCGUAACAAAGUA
RNAcentral lists this ribosomal RNA (396 nucleotides) under Eusarcus catharinensis. Its description in RNAcentral is "partial small subunit ribosomal RNA". The record is from RNAcentral. Lineage: Eukaryota; Metazoa; Arthropoda; Arachnida; Opiliones; Gonyleptidae.